This 433-nucleotide ribosomal RNA is filed under the name uncultured bacterium. Its description in RNAcentral is "partial 16S ribosomal RNA". It matches the Rfam family "Bacterial small subunit ribosomal RNA", at positions 29 to 507 of the family's 1533-position model. The record is from RNAcentral.
AACGAACGCUGGCGGCAUGCCUAACACAUGCAAGUCGAACGAGACCUUCGGGUCUAGUGGCGCACGGGUGAGUAACGCGUGGGAACCUGCCCUUAGGUUCGGAACAACUCCCCGAAAGGGGUGCUAAUACCGGAUAAUGUCUUCGGACCAAAGAUUUAUCGCCUUUGGAUGGGCCCGCGUUGGAUUAGCUAGUUGGUAGGGUAAAAGCCUACCAAGGCGACGAUCCAUAGCUGGUCUGAGAGGAUGAUCAGCCACACUGGGACUGAGACACGGCCCAGACUCCUACGGGAGGCAGCAGUGGGGAAUAUUGGACAAUGGGCGAAAGCCUGAUCCAGCAAUGCCGCGUGAGUGAUGAAGGCCUUAGGGUUGUAAAGCUCUUUUACCCGGGAUGAUAAUGACAGUACCGGGAGAAUAAGCUCCGGCUAACUCCGUG